This 305-nucleotide non-coding RNA is filed under the name Leucoagaricus sp. SymC.cos. Its description in RNAcentral is "Eukaryotic large subunit ribosomal RNA". It matches the Rfam family "Eukaryotic large subunit ribosomal RNA", at positions 93 to 391 of the family's 3401-position model. The record is from Rfam by way of RNAcentral. Lineage: Eukaryota; Fungi; Basidiomycota; Agaricomycetes; Agaricales; Agaricaceae.
GUGAAGCGGGAAAAGCUCAAAUUUAAAAUCUGACAGUCUCUGGCUGUCCGAGUUGUAAUCUAGAGAAGUGAUGCCCGCGCUGGACCGUGUACAAGUCUCCUGGAAUGGAGCGUCAUAGAGGGUGAGAAUCCCGUCUCUGACACGGACUACCAGGGCUUUGUGGUACGCUCUCAAAGAGUCGAGUUGUUUGGGAAUGCAGCUCAAAAUGGGUGGUAAAUUCCAUCUAAAGCUAAAUAUUGGCGAGAGACCGAUAGCGAACAAGUACCGUGAGGGAAAGAUGAAAAGAACUUUGGAAAGAGAGUUAA